RNAcentral lists this small nuclear RNA (65 nucleotides) under Capra hircus (goat). Lineage: Eukaryota; Metazoa; Chordata; Mammalia; Artiodactyla; Bovidae. The record is from RNAcentral.
GUGCUUGCUUCGGCAGCACAUAUACAAAACUUGGAACGAUACAAAGAAGAUUAGCAUGGCCCCUG